UUUGUUUUUCAGCAGGACUUGAAUUUUAAUCAGAAGAAUUUACACGUAAGAGAGAAGACAAUGCAAUCUGAGAAGUGAUGGUAUACGUCUGUGACUGAAGAUGAGUUUAAAUAUUGACCAGAGCAUUUCAACGACAAAUCCUCUGCCCAAUCCAGAAGCAACCUCAACAGACGCAAUGACGGACUCUCAAAAGGUUGCAUGUCUGCAGGCACAAGGAGAUGAUGCAUUGAGAAAAGAGAACUAUGAGGAGGCUGUGCAUUAUUACACCCAGGGUCUAAUGCUGGAUGCCAAGGACUGCCAGUUACUG
Molecule: long non-coding RNA, 307 nt
Organism: Rhincodon typus (whale shark)
Lineage: Eukaryota; Metazoa; Chordata; Chondrichthyes; Orectolobiformes; Rhincodontidae
Exons: 3
Source: RefSeq, a predicted model, not a curated record